AUUUCAGGAAACUGGGGCUAAUACCGGAUAGGAGCCCCUGCUGCAUGGUGGGGGUUGGAAAGUUUCGGCGGUUGGGGAUGGACUCCCGGCUUAUCAGCUUGUUGGUGGGGUAGUGGCUUACCAAGGCUUUGACGGGUAGCCGGCCUGAGAGGGUGACCGGCCACAUUGGGACUGAGAUACGGCCCAGACUCCUACGGGAGGC
RNAcentral lists this ribosomal RNA (202 nucleotides) under uncultured bacterium. RNAcentral's name for it is "partial 16S ribosomal RNA". It matches the Rfam family "Bacterial small subunit ribosomal RNA", at positions 146 to 349 of the family's 1533-position model. The record is from RNAcentral. RNAcentral also lists the same sequence under 1 other name.